CGAAUAACUAUGUACCGAAAAUUUUGCGGUCAAAACGUUUUGUGGUCCGAAGUUGCUCAAGUUGUUGGAAAGCACUUUAUUGCAAGUUUCCCUACCUCUGAGAUGGUGAAAUCAUGCUCUGUUAGUGGAUCUGGAUCUUAAUCAAUUUUGUUAUAUCAGCUGAUUAUAUGGCCAAGGUCAUUUGGUUCAGAAGAGGAGACAAAGCCGUCUCCUACUUUGUGUAGCAACUGCCAUAGUCAUGCGGAAAUGCUUCCACCAACUUGGAAUCACCCCUCUUUAUAUAUGCACAACGACUAAA
This is a long non-coding RNA of Capsella rubella, 298 nucleotides long. RefSeq lists it as uncharacterized. NCBI's taxonomy places the organism in Eukaryota, Viridiplantae, Streptophyta, Magnoliopsida, Brassicales, Brassicaceae. The record is from RefSeq and is a predicted model, not a curated record. The transcript is spliced from 3 exons.